AUUCACAAGAUUCACCAAGUUCUUAUUCUAAUAAUUUGGCUGUGUACUCGGCAUAAAAUUAUAUUGCAACUUUGAGAGAUUGAUCAAGAUCAUAUGGUGGCAUUCAAAAGGGGACCAAGAAAUUACAUUCUGUAAAAUAAUGCAACCAUUGAAAAGACGGGCGGGGAUUUUAGAAUUAUAUUGCGACACAGUUCAUUUCUAUUUCACGAAUGAAGAUACAAUUGGUAGCGAAUCGUCGAUUUAUAAUUAGUUUCAGACAAAAAACAGCUGCUUAUAUUCAAUUUUGAGAACCAAACUUGCACUGAUAAUAGCAAGAUAGCGGGCAAUGCCAAUGGAGAUACGAAGGGUAAUGAAAAGGAGAUGGACUCAGAAAGGGAAUGAGGGUAGAGAGAAUUUUGCAACAUUAAUAUGCAUGCCCCAUUCUUGCUAACCCUAUUACUUUUUUUUACCAAAUCCCUGAUUGCACCCCUAUCUUUAACAAGCCUACUGACCGGGAUCCCAGAUAUAAUCUGUUAACCUUUGUGAAGACCUGGCCCUAUUGUUUCUUCUCAGCCCAAACGCUAUUUAUGUGAUAUCCACAUCUAACUAGAGUUGAUUCAUGGCAAUAACCCAUCCGCAACAAGAACCUCAUCAUCAGGGUUCGAGUAAGGAUAAAUUGAUAUCAUAGUAGUGAUUCUUUUUUUUUUUUUGAUGACAAGGGAAUCCACAACCUCUACCCUUUACGUGCGCACAGGGUAAAACCCCCGCUCCUAUGCAAUAGCUCGCAAACCACAUAGGAGAGGUAAACCACACUAAGCAAGCUCGGUGCGACGAGCUCGACCCAGAAGGCAAAACCCCUUGCUUCCGCUAGCAAGGGGUUUCGGGCUUGAGACCUCCAACAUGGAAGUCCCAAGCACAAACCACUGGGCCACCCCGAAGGGUCAGUGAUUCUAUUUUGACUUGAAUGUGGAUCAGGCACUACCUCUCAAUAAGAUAUAGGUCUACAGAACCGCUAGUAAACAAACCCAUGAGAACAAUAUAGUUAAGAUGCAAGGCUCAAUGGCUCGAAUUCUUCUUUGACUUUGUACAAUAGAACAUUAGGGGAUAACUCUUCUACAGAUCCAACCAACUUUACUUAUCUCUGCCCAAGUAAGUGAGUUGGUUUAGUUCUUUAUAGUUGUACUUUAGUUAUUUGACUUAUCUAUACUUAUUAACCUUUAAAUUUAUUUUUCUAUAAUUGAAUGGUGGUCGAUAUUUGGUAGUCAAACUCCAACCUUGCAAAAGUUUGCCAGGAAAGUAUCAAGUGUAAAUUGCAGCUCAUUUGGAUGUGAGUGAAAUUGGAGUGUGUUUGAACAUAUUCAUUCAAAAGAGAAGUAGCCUAGCGUUAUCACAUCUCAAUAAUCUAGUGUACAUCAAGUACAAUAGAACACUGAAACGUCAUUAUGAUGCUUGUGAUACCAUUGAUGCAAUUGCCUUGGAUAAUAUUGAUGAGGCAAAUGAAUGGUCUAUCGUCUUAGGGGACGUUCUUGAAGUUCAAGGUCGCUUAACUAGGGCAAGGAGUACAUACUACUACAUUUACAAGUUCAAGUCAGACUCAGACCCUAACUUAUCAAGAAUCUGCCGAGGAAGAAGAUGAGGAGCAAUAUAUAACUGAAUCUUGCACUUCAAAAAUUUGAAAAUCUUGAAGAAGAAUAGACUUCUAGAGUUCUAAUAUUGCUUGUCAAUUGUCUUAUGAAUUAUCAAAUCAUUCAAUCUCUAGAUUUUAGCAUCUACCAUUAUUUUUUGAAUUGAAAUAUUUGUUAAUGUGUUAUUACUACUGAGAUUUUGGUUAUUUAUGCAUGCAA
Non-coding RNA from Solanum lycopersicum (tomato), 1823 nucleotides. The record is from RefSeq and is a predicted model, not a curated record. Lineage: Eukaryota; Viridiplantae; Streptophyta; Magnoliopsida; Solanales; Solanaceae.